UAUGUGAUCGUCUCUCGCAUAUCAAUAAGCGGAGGAAAAGAAACUAACAAGGAUUCCCCUAGUAACGGCGAGUGAAGCGGGAAGAGCUCAAAUUUGAAAUCUUAAAGGGUAUCCCUUUACGAAUUGUAGUUUAAAGAAGUGUUUUCUGUUGAGGUUUUGGUAAAAGUUCUUUGGAAUAGGACAUCAUAGAGGGUGAGAAUCCCGUAUUUGACCUUUACUUUCAACUUUGUGAUACACUUUCAAAGAGUCGGAUUGUUUGGGAAUGCAGUCCAAAAUGGGUGGUAAAUUUCAUCUAAAGCUAAAUAUUGGCGAGAGACCGAUAGCGAACAAGUACCGUGAGGGAAAGAUGAAAAGAACUUUGAAAAGAGAGUUAAACAGUACGUGAAAUUGUCAAAAGGGAAGCGUUUGACACCAGUGUUGUUUUUCUGAAAAUCAAUUAAAGAACUGUUUAUGCUAAGUUGUUUAGACUUUAUCAGCUAACUGUUUAGUUUUGAGCUUUUCUUUAAUGCACUUUUCAGUUAACAAGUCAACAUCAAUUUCUUUUGCUGUAAAAAAGCUUGAGGAAGGUGGCUUGAGAUUCGUCUUAAGUGUUUAUAGCCUCUUGCCUAUGCAGUCGGAGAGAUUGAGGUCUGCAGCGUAGAUCCUUCGGGGCUAAAUGCAUUUGUGCUAAGUUAUAGCAUUUUAUAGACAACUUGUUGACUAUGAUUUGUCUUGUAGCUUACUCGCUUAUGUUAUUUUACCUACGCUUAGGAUGUUGAGUAGCGACAUACGCAC
Molecule: ribosomal RNA, 774 nt
Filed under: uncultured Neocallimastigales
Lineage: Eukaryota; Fungi; Neocallimastigomycota; Neocallimastigomycetes; Neocallimastigales
Description: partial large subunit ribosomal RNA
Rfam family: Eukaryotic large subunit ribosomal RNA
Source: RNAcentral